CAGCCGCCGCGGGAAUACGAAGGGGGCUAGCGUUGUUCGGAAUCACUGGGCGUAAAGGGUGCGUAGGCGGAUUCUUAAGUCAGGGGUGAAAUCCCGAGGCUCAACCUCGGAACUGCCUUUGAUACUGGGGAUCUUGAGUCCGGAAGAGGUGAGUGGAACUGCGAGUGUAGAGGUGAAAUUCGUAGAUAUUCGCAAGAACACCGGUGGCGAAGGCGGCUCACUGGUCCGGAACUGACGCUGAGGCACGACAGCGUGGGGAGCAAACAGGAUUAGAUACCCCUGUAGUCCCUGUCUCUUAUAA
This 301-nucleotide ribosomal RNA is filed under the name uncultured bacterium. RNAcentral describes it as "partial 16S ribosomal RNA". It matches the Rfam family "Bacterial small subunit ribosomal RNA", at positions 509 to 809 of the family's 1533-position model. The record is from RNAcentral.